Molecule: long non-coding RNA, 217 nt
Filed under: Mytilus galloprovincialis (Mediterranean mussel)
Lineage: Eukaryota; Metazoa; Mollusca; Bivalvia; Mytilida; Mytilidae
Source: RNAcentral
GUGGGAGUUUUUGCCAUCAUUUUGCCUCUCUGGUCUGUCAAAUCUCUCACAGUUUAAGAUUCCGAAAGUUUAGAUACAAUUUUAUAUCAGAUUUAAUACGAUUGGUUCUUACUGUGUCUAGAUAAUAUGAUUAUUCCUACAAUGUCUUAGGUAAUUGGUCUAGAGCAUCGUUUCAAUUCAUUAACACACAUGGCCUCAAUAGCUUAAAUAGAACAUU